AUCACUAAGCGGAGGAAAAGAAACUAACAAGGAUUCCCCUAGUAACGGCGAGUGAAGCGGGAAGAGCCCAGCACCGAAUCUCCUGCCUGUUGGGUAGCGAGAACUGUGGUGUUUAGGACAGCCUCUGGGGUGACGAUCAGACUUCCGAGUCCUCCUGAUCGGGGCCUUUCCCAUAGCGGGUGUCAGGCCUCUACCGUCGUCUGUCGUCCUCCCUCUGAGCGUCCUUGGAGUCGGGUUGUUUGGGAAUGCAGCCCUAAGUGGGUGGUAAACUCCAUCUAAGGCUAAAUACUGACACGAGUCCGAUAGCGGACAAGUACCGUGAGGGAAAGUU
Molecule: ribosomal RNA, 331 nt
Filed under: Paralacydonia paradoxa
Lineage: Eukaryota; Metazoa; Annelida; Polychaeta; Phyllodocida; Paralacydoniidae
Description: eukaryotic LSU rRNA
Rfam family: Eukaryotic large subunit ribosomal RNA
Source: RNAcentral